This 439-nucleotide ribosomal RNA is filed under the name uncultured fungus. Its description in RNAcentral is "SSU rRNA". It matches the Rfam family "Eukaryotic small subunit ribosomal RNA", at positions 229 to 667 of the family's 1831-position model. Lineage: Eukaryota; Fungi. The record is from RNAcentral.
CGCGGUUGCGUCCUUGGUGAUUCAUAAUAACUUGUCGAAUCGUAUGGCCUUGUGCCGGCGAUGCAUCAUUCAAAUAUCUGCCCUAUCAACUUUCGAUGGUAGGAUAGUGGCCUACCAUGGUUUCAACGGGUAACGGGGAAUAAGGGUUCGAUUCCGGAGAGGGAGCCUGAGAAACGGCUACCACAUCCAAGGAAGGCAGCAGGCGCGCAAAUUACCCAAUCCCGACACGGGGAGGUAGUGACAAUAAAUAACAAUAUAGGGCUCUUUUGGGUCUUAUAAUUGGAAUGAGUACAAUUUAAAUCCCUUAACGAGGAACAAUUGGAGGGCAAGUCUGGUGCCAGCAGCCGCGGUAAUUCCAGCUCCAAUAGCGUAUAUUAAAGUUGUUGCAGUUAAACAAGCUCGUAGUUCGAACUUCAGAUUUGGUCGGGUGGUACCGCUU